UGUUUAAGGCGAGAAGUGCCUAUAAUAUAAAAAGUGUUACAACUUUAAUAAAUAUAUUUGUAUUUUGUAAAUUAAUUUUUCUCUUAGGUAAAACAAAAAUUAUAUAAUGAUAGAAUAAGUAUAAUAAAUUAUUUAUAGGAACUCGAUAUUUUUACAACUGUUUAUCAAAAACAUUUUCUUUAGAAUAUAUUUAAAGAUAAUACCUGCUCAAUGUAAAUUAUAAAUAGCUGCGGUAUACUAACUGCACUAAGGUAGCAUAAUUAAUUGUCUUUUAAAUGGUGACUUGUUUGAAUGGUUUUAUGAGAAAAAGAUUUUCUUUAAAUUAUACAGAAUUUAUAUUUUUGGUCAAAAUACCUAAUUUAUAAAGAAAGACGAGAAGACCCUGUUGAGUUUAACAAUAUUAUUAAUAGUUUGUUAAAAUGGGAAAUUUAAUCUCUUUUUGAGAUUUUUAAGAUCCUGAAAGGUUUUGGAAAAAGGAUAAAAUUACCACAGGGAUAACAGGACUAUAUUUACUGAGAGUUCUAAUUGAAGUAAAUGUUUGUUACCUCGAUGUUGAAUCGAAAUAUCUUAUUGGUGCAGUAGUCAAAUAAGUAGGUCUGUUCGACCUUUAAAAUUUCACGUGAUUUGAGUUAAGACCGGCGUGAGCCAGGUUGGUUUCUAUCUUCUUAAGACUGUUUUUUGUACGAAAGGAAUUGAAUAG
RNAcentral lists this ribosomal RNA (700 nucleotides) under Hoploplana elisabelloi. Its description in RNAcentral is "16S ribosomal RNA". The stretch from base 341 to 671 matches the Rfam family "Bacterial large subunit ribosomal RNA", at positions 2049 to 2651 of the family's 2925-position model. The record is from RNAcentral. Lineage: Eukaryota; Metazoa; Platyhelminthes; Polycladida; Hoploplanidae.